Molecule: long non-coding RNA, 1162 nt
Filed under: Capra hircus (goat)
Lineage: Eukaryota; Metazoa; Chordata; Mammalia; Artiodactyla; Bovidae
Description: lncRNA (ENSCHIG00010002134.1)
Source: RNAcentral
AUGAAAAAGAGUAACACCUCAUCUGCCUUGACACAGCUGAGAAACAGAAAGUAUAUAAUGAAUAAUCACAAUUGGACAGGAGUCACGGGCUUACAGGUGACACACCAUUCUCUCGAGAAAAGAUGCUGUUUUACACACAAUUCUAAAUGGUCUCAUUCAGCUUUCCAGGGACAAAGUGGAAGUGGCAAAAGAAUCGUAAUGACAUGUCCAGGCUGGGGCAGAUGGCAAGAGGAGAGGGAACAGAGAAACGAAGCAGCAAACAAGAGCUCAAAAAGCACCCAAAGGUCAGGACCAGCCGGCAGAAAGAUGCAAACAUCUCUACACAUCAAGUGAAGAAACACCAACGUACAUCAACACAGUAUCAUGAUCACAGCUUUUAUGAAUAAACAACAACAAAGAAAGAUAGGAAAGGUCUCCAACAAAAGAUGAUGGACUAAAUAUAAAUUUUCCCUCCAGUUAUUCCAGAUAUCCCAUGGACAUAAAAACAGUUCAUACAGAAAAAGAAUAAUAAGAGCAAAGAAAAUAACGGCAGAGAUGGGGCACUACCGGGGCCAGGAAAUGGGAGGGCAUACUACUAGGCGCAAGAUGGGCUCGAGGAUGUACUGUGCAACGCAGGGGAUGCAGCCAAUGUUUCGUAAUAACUGUAAAUCGAGAGGAACCGCUAAAUUAUAAUAAAAUUAAAAAUAAUACACACACCAGAAGUGGAGAUGAGUGGUACAGAGAGAAAAGUCAACAAGCUUAUGAAAGACGAAAAUAGGUAUGAAAUUGCUUGAUAUAACAAGCAGAGAAAGCCACAGACUCAUUCUAUCCUAUAAGAGGGAUAGAAAAGGGCGAGAACCAAUAUAUCUGACAGAAUCCCAGAGAAGCAUUAUUGCAAAGUAAAUAGUUCAGCAAAGGGUGGGAAUAAAUAGUGGGGCUAAAAAUAGGAGAAUUAUAUAUUACCUGACUGACUGUUUAAGGGACAGCUCCAUUUCCCAACACUCAUCUCCAAGCAGCACCUAAACUGGCAUUUACUCCCUGGCAAAAUGACAGCUGGCCUUUCUCUAAAGAAAGUGAAUACCUGUCUAGGGGAUGCUGGCACAGAUAAUAAAGUGCUUCUAACCUGUAUACUGUCAUCAUCGGAGAAGGCAAUGGCACCCCACUCCAGUACUCUUGCCUGGAA